Molecule: ribosomal RNA, 110 nt
Filed under: uncultured eukaryote
Lineage: Eukaryota
Description: partial small subunit ribosomal RNA
Rfam family: Eukaryotic small subunit ribosomal RNA
Source: RNAcentral
UCGCACCUACCGAUUGAACGUUCCGGUGAGACCUUGGGAUUUGGAAUUUGUUUGUUGAUUCAGACGUUUUUCGAAAAACUUGAGCAAACCUUAACGUUUAGAGGAAGGUG